Molecule: long non-coding RNA, 1605 nt
Filed under: Homo sapiens (human)
Lineage: Eukaryota; Metazoa; Chordata; Mammalia; Primates; Hominidae
Description: HSALNT0172924
Source: RNAcentral
GAAGAUAUUAAUAUGAAGUAAAAACAAAAGUAGAUUUUUAAGCAUUAUACAAAGGAACUUAAAAUUCAAUUCUGUUCAGAGGCCAUUUACUGAGCAUCUGCCAGACAUUGUAAAGACCAGCUGAUCAUUGGUAGGAACAGAAUCUCUGUUCUAAUGAGAUCUUGUGCUCCUUCUAACUGCCCUCCUCACUCAAACUCUCUGAGGUCUUAUCUGGGCCCUUGCUUUUUUGCCUGGGAAGAGUCUACUUUGAUCCUCCUCCUGACUUCAUUCUUUCCAAACCUAAUUUAUGCUCCCUCUUGGAUCUUUUUUCUCACCAAGACAAAAGUGUCUACUCCCAUGGCUCCAGAAACUUUCUAUAAAGCUGGACUCAUGCACAUUUAUGAAUCACCCAACAGAAGAGCUGACGGAGUGAAUCACACAAGGUUUUCAGAUUGCCAGAAUAGGAGGAACAAUACGUGUCAUAUUUUUUAAUGAACAUUUAAAGAUACAGAGAGCCUCAGGGGACACACUUUGUACCAACGUUCAGAGAAUGAUGCUUGGAACUAUGGUGCCCAUCUAUAAAGCCACCUAUGGGCAUGCCAGUGGAGGACACCACCCUCAGACUGUAAGCACUGAUGCAAUCACCCACUUACUCAGCAGAGAAAAGGACAAAGGACAAAUCAAGAAGGCAUGAGACACCAUAAUCAAUUCCUCCUGGUCUGCUACUGAUCACAGGCCCUGGUCUAAGGCAGCAUGGUGGAGGUAAAAGCAUAGUCUGUGGAAAAACAGACAAAUCUGGAUUUAAUCACCACCUGUGUGACCUUCAGCAAGUUACCUCCUCUGUGCCUCAGUUUCCUCACUUGUGAAAUGAAUACCUCUUCUUCAAGUUGGGAUGAAGUUUAAAUGACAAGGGAAAUAUGAAAUCCACAUGAUACUGGCCAUGAAGGGAUCAAGCAAGAUGCCUUGUCUGACUAUUUCCUGAGGGUGCUAUAAUGAAGUUUCCAUAAUGUUCAUCUUUCUGCCCAACUGGAGAGCUAUUCUCAACUCAGACUCUCAGCUGGAAAGGAAUCUACUCAUGUCCUCAUGUUGAGAUCUUUAAAGUGCUUCUCCCAUAUCCACAGUAUGCAGAAAACAUGGAAUCUCAUUAGUGUAUUAUGAUCAAAACAAAGAAAGGACAGGCACAGAGUACCCAGGUAAGAGGGACAAAAAGAAGUGGCAUCUCACGGCUUCAUCCAACAUUUGCAGAGUACACAGGAGAGAAGCAAAGUUUCCCAGAGAAAUCAUUUAAUAACAUUUGGGCCUCAAGGACUAUAUUCUUUCUUUCUGUAAGAGUAAUAAGAAUUAAGGACAAGAGAGCUCACGUAAGAAAAGCAGUUUGCAAUAGAAACUAGCCUAUGGGGGAUAAGAACAUCACUGAACAGGAUCCAAAAUUGAUCAAACCUGUUAUUAAAGCCACACCAAUUAAGGGCCAUCCCCAAUUUAUUUGUGUGUAUUUUUCGUGAGAAGAAAUGAGGAAUUAAUAUCAGACCCCACUGCAGCCUUUGUAAUCUGUUUUAAGUAAUAUUGCACUUAAAAUUUAUUGAGUUUUUCCUAAUAAAGCAUGGACCCAGAAAUUCUCAUCAAACA